AUGCCUGGAUACCUACAGAAAGGCUUCAGCUGCGUGGUCACCAAUGACCAUUUGAUGAGCAAUGAGACCCUUACUGAGGGCAGCAGAGAACAAAAGCCACCAGCAGAGGUGCAGGUGGCAUAGGGCCUCCCCCAUUGCUCUGCCCCUCCCCUGGCCCCCCAUACCAAGAGCUUGGCUAAGGCUGAGAUUUAGAACAACUCCAAUGUGGUGGUCAGUUGUGUGCAAGGAGUCACAGAAAGAUCACAAGAACCUGAUGCCCAGCAUGUGGGCGUGGCUGACAAAGAGGAGGAGACUGUUGCUGGUGACAGGAAUAAAGUGAGCAGGGAGGAGACCUGAUCAACACCUUCAGUGUGAAGGGAAAAAAAUUUAUAGGAGACCCAGAAAGCCAACCACCUCGUGAAAGAUUUGAAAAGCCACUUGAAGGGUGAAGGUGGUGAAUUUUCAAUUGAUGGACAUUAUUGAACGGCCCAUCUGAGGCCGAGGUGACGUGGGAAGGGCACAAGGAGGCUGCGGAUAGAGGAUGGACUGAGGCGAUGGAUUCGAUCCUCGUGGCAAAUGUGAAUUGUUAGGUACAGUGGAAGUGGUAGAUCUGGCCUGAAGCUGGAGGUGGUGGCUUUCACGGACUGGGGAACUGUCAGAGAUUAGUGAACUGAUUUGGAUCAAUCAAAUGUAACUGAGGAAACCCAGAGGCAGACAGUGAAAGUAAUGACAGCGAAGUUGAAGAGAUUGAGGAAGAGGAUCCACAAGAGAUGCCUUCGGAUAAGUGGGAAGCUAUUUGAAAUAAAGACUGAGCAAAAGAAGAAUUAAAUAUCUGAAAACCAAAUGAAGGUACUGAUGGACAAUGGAAAAGGGCAUUUGUUCUGCAUAAGUAAAAAAAAAAAGUGAAGAGGUUCGUGUUGCAGAUUCGGCUGUGGACCUUCAUUUCUGGAAGCCAGCAAAUGAUAUAAAGUCUCAAGUGGAGAUCAAUUACGGAGGCCCUGGGACAGGGAAGACGAGGGCAUGGGUGUGGUAGUCAUCCAAACCGUGGCCAAAGGACUGAUGAUUCAAGUGCUUCUAGUCCUGAUGUAGAUGACCCAGAGGCAUCCCAGCUCUG
Molecule: long non-coding RNA, 1093 nt
Filed under: Mus musculus (house mouse)
Lineage: Eukaryota; Metazoa; Chordata; Mammalia; Rodentia; Muridae
Description: long non-coding RNA chr9:55305287-55306380
Source: RNAcentral